Molecule: ribosomal RNA, 250 nt
Filed under: uncultured Planctomycetota bacterium
Lineage: Bacteria; Pseudomonadati; Planctomycetota
Description: uncultured planctomycete partial 16S ribosomal RNA
Rfam family: Bacterial small subunit ribosomal RNA
Source: RNAcentral
GACGUAGGUGGCAAGCGUUGUUCGGAAUCACUGGGCAUAAAGCGCACGUAGGCGGCUAAGUCAGUCGGGUGUGAAAGCCCUCGGCUCAACCGAGGAACUGCGCCCGAUACUGCUUGGCUUGAGGUCCGGAGGGGAGAGUGGAAUUCCCGGUGGAGCGGUGAAAUGCGUAGAGAUCGGGAAGAACGCCGGCGGCGAAAGCGACUCUCUGGUCGGAAUCUGACGCUGAGGUGCGAAAGCUAGGGGAGCAAAC